CCUGCGGGAGAGAGCUAGAUCGCGGGGCGGCAUUUAGGGUUUGACGGUGGGCUACUAGGGGAGGGGCUUCAAGGCUGCCCAGGAAUGGACGAAGCGAGUUCUGCGAGCCCGUUUUGUGUUUGUAGCUGAGGAAGCCCUAGUAUGGCUUAGAAUGCACUUGGCACCAACAAGCACAUAAUCUUCAGUUGCCAGCCAUCAGUUGCCUUCCCGAAGCAGACAAUCCUUCUUUGGUGAGAACUCUUUGCUAUCUCAGCAUUAUCAACAAUAGCCAAAUUAUGGAGAGAGCCUAAAUGCCCAUUGACUGAUGAAUGGAUGAGGAAGAUGUGGUAUUUAUAUGCGAUGGAAUAUUACUCAGUCACCAACAAGAAUGAAAUCUUGCCAUUGCAACAAUGUGGAUGGAGCUAGAGUAUAUUAUGACAAGAGAAAUAAGUCAGUCAGAAAAAGACAAAUACCAUAUGAUUUCAUUCAUAUGUGGAAUUUAAGAAACAAAACAGAUGAACGUAUGGAAAGGGGAAAAGAAGAAAAAAGAGAAAGAUGGGGGAACAAACCACAGGAGACUCUUAAUGACAGAGAACAAACUGAGGGUUUGAUGGAGGGAGGUGGGUAGGGGAUGGGCUAGAUGGGUGAUGGGUAAUAAGGAGGACACUAGUUGUGAUGAGCCCUGGUGAACUGAGUAAUUCACCAAUUACUCAGUUCUACUCAAUUCUACUGCUGAAGCCAAUAUUGCACUGUAUGUUAACUGACUAGAAUUUAAAUUAAAAAAAAAAAAAAAAAAGAAAGAAAUCUUUGCUACCUCAAGCCCAGAAAGAUAUUUUAUAUUUCUUUUGCUUUACCUUUUACAAUUAGGUCACUAAUGUAUCUGGAAUUUAUGUUUGUAGUGUGAUGUAAGGGCCAAGAUUCAUUUUUUAUGAAUAUAGCUAUCAGUUGACCCAGUGCUACUUAUUGAAAAGACCACUAUGUCCCAACCAUAAUGCAGAGGAACCUUUGUCGUAAAUCAGAUGACCACAUAUAUGUAGGUGUAUUUCAAGGCCAUUUAUUUUGUUCCAUUGGUCUGUUUGUUCAUUCUUGUGCCAAAACCAUACUGCCUUAAUGACCAAAGUACUACUUUCACAUUAACAAAUUCAAGGACAAAAAUAUUAUAUCAAUGUGUCAAAAUAGUAUCUGAUAAUAUUCAGCAGG
This is a long non-coding RNA of Neofelis nebulosa (Clouded leopard), 1179 nucleotides long. RefSeq lists it as uncharacterized. The record is from RefSeq and is a predicted model, not a curated record. NCBI's taxonomy places the organism in Eukaryota, Metazoa, Chordata, Mammalia, Carnivora, Felidae. The transcript is spliced from 3 exons.